This 253-nucleotide ribosomal RNA is filed under the name uncultured bacterium. Its description in RNAcentral is "partial 16S ribosomal RNA". It matches the Rfam family "Bacterial small subunit ribosomal RNA", at positions 524 to 776 of the family's 1533-position model. The record is from RNAcentral.
UACGUAGGAGACGAGCGUUGUCCGGAGUUAUUGGGCGUAAAGCGCGCGCAGGCGGCCUCGCGCGCCCGACGUGAAAGCCCCCGGCUUAACCGGGGAGGGUCGUUGGGGACGGCGGGGCUUGAGGGCGGGAGAGGUCGGUGGAAUUCCCGGUGUAGUGGUGAAAUGCGUAGAGAUCGGGAGGAACACCUGUGGCGAAGGCGGCCGACUGGGCCGACCCUGACGCUGAGGCGCGAAGGCGUGGGGAGCGAACGGG